Molecule: ribosomal RNA, 775 nt
Filed under: Dermanyssus longipes
Lineage: Eukaryota; Metazoa; Arthropoda; Arachnida; Mesostigmata; Dermanyssidae
Description: eukaryotic LSU rRNA
Rfam family: Eukaryotic large subunit ribosomal RNA
Source: RNAcentral
UGUAUCUGAAAUCAAGUGUGACGACCCGCUGAACUUAAGCAUAUCAAUAAGCGGAGGAAAAGAAAUCAAAUGAGAUUUCCCUAGUAGCUGCGAGUGAACUGGAAUCAAGCCUAUUGCCAAUUCUUAUGUUUUGUACAAUAAGAGAUGAGGUGUAAAGGUAUUUCGUGUUCAGCAGUGGCACGGCCUAAUUAUUAUUGAGUCAGUGCUCAAAGAAGGUGAAAAGCCUGUAUGGUUGCGCCGAUCUGUUGAACCGUGAUACUGGAGAGUCUAGUUGUUUGAGAGUACAACUUAAAGUUGGUGGUAAAUUUCAUCAAAGGCUAAAUAUACGAAGGGACUAAUAGCGAACAAGUACCAUGAGGGAAAGUUGAAAAGAACUCUGACGAGAGAGUUCAACAGUACGUGAAACCACAUUGAGUAAAACAGAUAACUGUGUUGUUAUGUGGUGUGCCUAUCAACAGUCACUUCGGCGUUGCCACGUUUUGGGUGUAGGCUGUCUAUUCAGCUGAAUGCCUAAAACUAGCAUAGUCGGAGGUGCUGUGCACUAGUGCGCACUCGAUCAUUGAGAAGCUAUGCCGCUGCUGCAUCGGUAUGUGUCAGUCCGCACUUAGUGUGUAGUCACAUGCUGGGUUGUGCUAGCCUUGGCGUAGUUUAGCUGUGUGACAGCUGUGGGUUGCGUUUGUCGAUUGUAGCUGCUGUAUCUGCGAAUUGGUUUAUUCCUUUUUGCGGUGAGUAUGUUGCAGGACGCAAGCAGCCCGCCAUCAAUGGUAACAUUAGU